GCAGCAGCAGGCGCGGACGUCGGAGCUGCAGCCCUGCCAUGCCUGCAGAUCGCCGGGCGAAUGAAGACUGCUGUUCCUGCCGGGGCAGGCUGGACCUGCCCUGGGCCGCUCGAGGAUGGCUCAUCUGCUAGGCAAACUCUUGGAAAGCCAACUGCAGACAAAAAGAGAGAGAAAUGUUUCUGUCAUCCCAGCAUCCUACAUGGCAUUUGAGGGCAAAUCAGCAUGCUCGGAGCUGCUCCUGCUGGUUUCCUGAUACUGUGUGCAGCAGGUGGAGGAUUUCUUGGCAUAUGUUGAUGACAGUAUUCAUCACAUUUUCAGAGGUGCAUUAGCAGGGAGCUGGAUCAUCAAUGGAGCAGCCAGGAUGUGAACCUGUGCCCACAUUGGGUGCCAACACCGCAGUUGUCAGCCUUACCCAUGACACCACAGCUG
Ochotona princeps (American pika) is the source of this 429-nucleotide long non-coding RNA. RefSeq lists it as uncharacterized. Lineage: Eukaryota; Metazoa; Chordata; Mammalia; Lagomorpha; Ochotonidae. The transcript is spliced from 3 exons. The record is from RefSeq and is a predicted model, not a curated record.